This 707-nucleotide ribosomal RNA is filed under the name uncultured phototrophic eukaryote. RNAcentral describes it as "bacterial SSU rRNA". It matches the Rfam family "Bacterial small subunit ribosomal RNA", at positions 60 to 807 of the family's 1533-position model. The record is from RNAcentral.
AGUCGUACGAGAGUUUUAAACUCAAGUGGCGGACGGGUGAGUAACACGUAAGAAUUUACCUUUAGGAGGGGGACAACAGCUGGAAACGGUUGCUAAUACCCCAUAUGCUUUCGAGUGAAAUGGAUUUUUCCGCCUAGAGAGAAGCUUGCGGCUGAUUAGCUUGUUGGUAAGGUAAUGGCUUACCAAGGCGACGAUCAGUAUCUGGUUUGAGAGGACGAUCAGACACACUGGAACUGAGACACGGUCCAGACUCCUACGGGAGGCAGCAGUGGGGAAUUUUCCGCAAUGGGCGCAAGCCUGACGGAGCAAUCUCGCGUGAGGGAUGACUGCCUAUGGGUUGUAAACCUCUUUUUUCAGGGAGGAAUUAAUGACGUGUACCUGAAGAAUAAGCAUCGGCUAACUCCGUGCCAGCAGCCGCGGUAAGACGGAGGAUGCAAGUAUUAUCCGGAAUCACUGGGCGUAAAGCGUCUGUAGGUGGUUUAAUAAGUCAACUGUUAAAUCUUGAAGCUCAACUUCAAAAUCGCAGUCGAAACUAUUAGACUAGAGUAUAGUAGGGGUAAAGGGAAUUUCCAGUGGAGCGGUGAAAUGCGUAGAGAUUGGAAAGAACACCGAUGGCGAAGGCACUUUACUGGGCUAUUACUGACACUCAGAGACGAAAGCUAGGGUAGCAAAUGGGAUUAGAUACCCCAGUAGUCCUAGCCGUAAAC